CUUGCCCUACGGGGCGCAGCAGUGAGGAAUAUUGGUCAAUGGGCGCGAGCCUGAACCAGCCAAGUAGCGUGAAGGAUGACUGCCCUACGGGUUGUAAACUUCUUUUAUAAAGGAAUAAAGUGAGGCACGAGUGCCUUUUUGUAUGUACUUUAUGAAUAAGGAUCGGCUAACUCCGUGCCAGCAGCCGCGGUAAUACGGAGGAUCCGAGCGUUAUCCGGAUUUAUCGGGUUUAAAGGGAGCGUAGAUGGGUUGUUAAGUCAGUUGUGAAAGUUUGCGGCUAAACCGUAAAAUUGCAAU
This 297-nucleotide ribosomal RNA is filed under the name uncultured bacterium. RNAcentral describes it as "partial 16S ribosomal RNA". It matches the Rfam family "Bacterial small subunit ribosomal RNA", at positions 333 to 627 of the family's 1533-position model. The record is from RNAcentral.